Long non-coding RNA from Oryzias melastigma (Indian medaka), 613 nucleotides. RefSeq lists it as uncharacterized. The record is from RefSeq and is a predicted model, not a curated record. NCBI's taxonomy places the organism in Eukaryota, Metazoa, Chordata, Actinopteri, Beloniformes, Adrianichthyidae. The transcript has 2 exons.
ACGUGUCACGUUCACUUUGAAAGGCGUGUCCAAACGCCAAUGAGAGAUGCAUUCGUGGGGACGCUCGGCUGUGUACCCCUGCAGCAGGUAGGCUUUUGACUCCCAGGCGCGAAAUAUUAAUCCUGUUGUGCCGGUUUACUGACGAAAGGCAUUUUAUUAGAUUGGCGUUCAUCACCGGAAGCCGGGAAAAUUAAAUCAGCGCGAUUAGUGAAGCGUGAACUGGUCGCUUGACUGGUUGUGUCUGAAGAUUUUGGAGUGCUCAACCAGAGCAUUGGAUGCAGUAUCAACUGGGGAGUCCACCACUCCCAGAAAACAGUGAGGAUAAAACCUCUAUGGAUGGCGAGCUAAAAGGAGCCUGAUAUUAGACUGGAAUCUACCAUCCUACCACCAGUGCGGCAGGACUAACCCCCCACACUCUACAACAACUCAUCCGGAGUCCUUUUUUUGUUUUUUUGUUUUUUUCUCUGUCAACUGGAGUACCCAGACUCUUUCCCAUCACAACUCUCUCUACGAACUGAUAGAAAAACAUCAUCAGGACUGAAGUGUUUUGUUCAUAUGUGUUGUAAAUUUUGAAUUCACUGUAUAUUGUAAAUACAUUUGCAUCAGCAACUCA